CAUCACAUCACUUUUUAAAACAUUUUCAGCUAUUCAUAUCUUUGAUAGUUGUUUUUGAACUCUUUGUGAACAAAUGAUGUUACAUUAUGUCAGUCACAUCACUUUUUGAAUAAUGUUAAUGUGACGAAUUGUA
Caenorhabditis elegans is the source of this 133-nucleotide non-coding RNA. The record is from Ensembl. Lineage: Eukaryota; Metazoa; Nematoda; Chromadorea; Rhabditida; Rhabditidae.